CUUGGUCAUUUAGAGGAAGUAAAAGUCGUAACAAGGUUUCCGUAGGUGAACCUGCGGAGGGAUCAUUACUGAAUUCAUGGAGUGUUGUCGCUGGCUCUUCGGAGCAUGUGCACGCACUUCAAAUUCAUCUUUACCACCUGUGCACUUUUGUAGACUGUGAUAACUCUCAAUGGUUUUUCCGUUGGAUUGAAGGACUUGCGUUUAGCUGUCUUUCGACUUCACAGUCUAUGUCUCGUCUACUAUAAAAAGUCUAGAAUGUAACUUGUGGGUCUUCUGACCUAUAAAACUUAUACAACUUUCAACGACGGAUCUCUUGGCUCUCGCAUCGAUGAAGAACGCAGCGAAAUGCGAUAAGUAAUGUGAAUUGCAGAAUUCAGUGAAUCAUCGAAUCUUUGAACGCACCUUGCACUCCUUGGUAUUCCGAGGAGUAUGCCUGUUUGAGUGUCAUUAAAUUCUCAAACCUCUUUGACUUUAUUGACAAGGAGGCUUUGGAUGUGGGAGUUGCUGGCUUUUACGAGUCAGCUCUCCUUAAAUACAUUAGUGGUUACUGUUCUCCACUUCCUGGUGUGAUAAUAUCUACGCCUAGUGGAGAUGUUAAGUGUAGCUGCUUUCUAACCGUCCAUGCAAUGUGGACAACUUGAACCAUUUGACCUCAAAUCAGGUAGGACUACCCGCUGAACUUAAGCAUAUCAAUAAGCGGAGGA
RNAcentral lists this ribosomal RNA (704 nucleotides) under uncultured fungus. RNAcentral's name for it is "eukaryotic LSU rRNA". The stretch from base 294 to 447 matches the Rfam family "5.8S ribosomal RNA". Lineage: Eukaryota; Fungi. The record is from RNAcentral.